UACGUAGGUGGCGAGCGUUAUCCGGAAUUACUGGGCGUAAAGCGCACGCAGGCGGCCAUUUAAGUCUGACGUGAAAGCUCCCGGCUUAACUGGGAGAGGUCGUUGGAAACUGGGUGGCUUGAGGCAAUGAGAGGGGUGUAGAAUUCCUGGUGUAGUGGUGGAAUGCGUAGAUAUCAGGAGGAAUACCAGUGGCGAAAGCGGCACCCUGGCAUUGGCCUGACGCUCAUGUGCGAAAGCGUGGGGAGCGAACGGGAUUAGAAACCCCAGUAGUCC
Molecule: ribosomal RNA, 273 nt
Filed under: uncultured bacterium
Lineage: Bacteria
Description: partial 16S ribosomal RNA
Rfam family: Bacterial small subunit ribosomal RNA
Source: RNAcentral